Molecule: long non-coding RNA, 926 nt
Organism: Oreochromis aureus
Lineage: Eukaryota; Metazoa; Chordata; Actinopteri; Cichliformes; Cichlidae
Exons: 3
Source: RefSeq, a predicted model, not a curated record
UGAUGCACUAUACCGCUGAGUUAAGAAGAGAAUAUUGUGUGCAGAGAGUCAGGGCCUUGCUGUUUUGAUAGCAGAGGAGACAGAGCACAUUCCACAGGAGCUUCACCCCACCACCUUGUUGGGAGCAGAAAAACAAGGAGCCGAGGUCAUAACUUAGGCGCCGUGUGAGAGAAAGAAUGUGAAUGUUUAGGCUUUUACAACUAGGUGGGGGCCGCUAGAGGCUGUAAGAGUUUGAGUAACCCUCCACCAGUUUGAGAUUUGCUGUGACCCUCUGCAUGCAUGUCUCCCCAUCCGGAUGGUUUGUGCUCAAAAGUGUUGAAUUGUAUGUAAUAAAGUAAUUGUUGAUUGAGCAUUUAUACACCGAGUAUUGUCCUUCCUUCAGCCCAAAGAUCGAAAGAAUUGGGAGGUUAUAACAAUUUGGUGCCUUGUGACCCGGAUCUUUAGUGUGCUGAGGAGGGCAGAUUUGGCCUGUGGUGAGAUCGUGAGGCGAGGCGAGCAGAGGACCGGUCCAAAUUAAAAAGUUGCACUCUCGCAGCACACACACACAUUGGUGGAGAUGGUGUGUUGAGCAGAGCCUGGUCACAGACUUCUGCACUGACAGCCAACUUGAAGUUGAAGUCGCUGAAGGUAUUACCGAGGUAAGAAUUGGUUGUGGGAAGGAGUUUUACUUGGCACCGUUCAUCCAGGAAAGGCUGGCAGAAUACAGCUACAAUUGGCAGAGGCAGCCCUCCAUUCAGACACCUUCUACAAGGGUAACAAUGUGGUGUUAAAAUGUGUGUGUGCUUUUUUUAAUAAGCCCUCUUUCAAUUGGAGUGUAUUUCAAAUUAGAACAAGCACAAUAACACUGUUUUAAAAUGUGCACAGAACCAUGUGAUAGGGAGAAUGUGGUCAGACAGUUUUGGUAAAGGUGUUGGACAGAUAGGAAG